AGUGAACGCUGGCGGUAGGCCUAACACAUGCAAGUCGAGCGGCAGCACAGUAAGAGCUCGCUCCUACGGGUGGCGGGUGGCGGACGGGUGAGGAAUGCAUCGGCUUCUACUUUUUCGUGGGUAAAACGUGGGAAAACUUACGCUAAUACCGCAUACUACUUACGGGUGAAAGCCGGGGAUCUUCGGCCCUUUUGCGCUUGCAUGAGCCGAUGUCGGAUUAGCUAGUUGUCGGGGUAAAGGCCUACCAAGGCGACGAUCCGUAGCUGGUCUGUGAGGAUGAUCAGCCACACUGGAACUGAGACACGGUCCAGACUCCUACGGGAGGCAGCAGUGGGGAAUAUUGGACAAUGGGCGAAAGCCUGACCGAGCCAUACCGCGUGGGUGAAGAAGGUCUUCGGGUUGUAAAGCUCUGUUGUUGGGAAAGAAGAUCAGCGUGUUAAUACGCCGCUGUUCUGACGGUACCCAAUGAAUAAGCCCCGGCUAACUACGUG
This 491-nucleotide ribosomal RNA is filed under the name uncultured bacterium. RNAcentral describes it as "partial 16S ribosomal RNA". It matches the Rfam family "Bacterial small subunit ribosomal RNA", at positions 29 to 507 of the family's 1533-position model. The record is from RNAcentral.